RNAcentral lists this ribosomal RNA (450 nucleotides) under uncultured bacterium. Its description in RNAcentral is "partial 16S ribosomal RNA". It matches the Rfam family "Bacterial small subunit ribosomal RNA", at positions 354 to 796 of the family's 1533-position model. The record is from RNAcentral.
GUGGGGAAUCUUCCGCAAUGGACGAAAGUCUGACGGAGCGACGCCGCGUGAGUGAAGAAGGCCUUCGGGUCGUAAAGCUCUGUCAUCAGGGACGAACGGCCGGUGGAGUGGAAAGCCACCGGAUUGACGGUACCUGAGAAGGAAGCCACGGCUAACUACGUGCCAGCAGCCGCGGUAAUACGUAGGUGGCAAGCGUUGUCCGGAAUUAUUGGGCGUAAAGUGCGCGCAGGUGGGAUCUUAAGUCCAUUUUGAAAGUUCGGAGCUCAACUCCGUGAUGGGAUGGAAACUGGGAUUCUUGAGUACCGGAGAGGAAAGCGGAAUUCCCCGUGUAGCGGUGAAAUGCGUAGAUAUGGGGAGGAACACCAGUGGCGAAGGCGGCUUUCUGGACGGUGUCUGACACUGAGGCGCGAAAGCUAGGGGAGCGAACGGGAUUAGAAACCCUAGUAGUCC